GCAGUCGACGAACUCAAUUCUUCGGAUGAGAGUUAGUGGCAAACGGGUGAGUAACACGUAGGUGACCUGCCCCGAAGCGGGGGAUAACGACUGGAAACGGUCGCUAAUACCGCAUGUGCUCGGCGAUUCGAUUUGCCGAGUAAAGCUUUGGCGCUUUGGGAGGGGCCUGCGGCCGAUUAGCUAGUUGGUGAGGUAAUAGCUCACCAAGGCGAUGAUCGGUAGGGGGCGUGAGAGCGUGACCCCCCACACUGGGACUGAGACACGGCCCAGACUCCUACGGGAGGCAGCAGUGAGGAAUAUUGCACAAUGGGCGAAAGCCUGAUGCAGCAACGCCGCGUGGAGGACGAAGGCCCUCGGGUCGUAAACUCCUUUUCUGGGGGACGAGAAAGGACGGUACCUCAGGAAUAAGUCUCGGCUAACUACGUGCCAGCAGCCGCGGUAAUACGUAGGAGGCAAACGUUAUCCGGAAUUACUGGGCGUAAAGCGCACGCAGGCGGCUUCGUAAGUCCGACGUGAAAGCUCCUGGCUUAACUGGGAGAGGCCGUUGGAUACUGCGAAGCUCGAGGUUAGGAGAGGAAAGUGGAAUUCCCGGUGUAGUGGUGGAAUGCGUAGAUAUCGGGAGGAACCCCAGUGGCGAAAGCGACUUUCUAGCCUACACCUGACGCUGAGGUGCGAAAGCGUGGGGAGCGAACAGGAUUAGAUACCCUGGUAGUCCACGCUGUAAACGAUGUGAACUAGGUGUUAGCGGUUUCGACCCCGCUAGUGCCGAAGCUAACGCGU
Molecule: ribosomal RNA, 780 nt
Filed under: uncultured bacterium
Lineage: Bacteria
Description: bacterial SSU rRNA
Rfam family: Bacterial small subunit ribosomal RNA
Source: RNAcentral